CCUACGGGUGGCAGCAGUGGGGAAUAUUGGACAAUGGGGGGAACCCUGAUCCAGCGACGCCGCGUGAGUGAAGAAGUAUUUCGGUAUGUAAAGCUCUAUCAGCAGGGAAGAAAGACAUGACGGUUCCUGACUCAGACGCCCCGGCUAACUACGUGCCAGCAGCCGCGGUACUACGUAGGGGGCAAGCGUUAGCCGGAUUUACUGGGUGUAAAGGGAGCGUAGACGGCGAUGCAAGUCUGAAGUGAAAGGCGGGGGCCCAACCUCCGGACUGCUUUGGAAACUGUAUGGCUGGAGUGCAGGAGAGGUAAGUGGAAUUCCUAGUGUAGCGGUGAAAUGCGUAGAUAUUAGGAGGAACACCAGUGGCGAAGGCGGCUUACUGGACUGUAACUGACGUUGAGGCUCGAAAGCGUGGGGAGCAAACAGGAUUAGAUACCCUGGUAGUC
This 443-nucleotide ribosomal RNA is filed under the name uncultured bacterium. RNAcentral's name for it is "partial 16S ribosomal RNA". It matches the Rfam family "Bacterial small subunit ribosomal RNA", at positions 338 to 795 of the family's 1533-position model. The record is from RNAcentral.